Molecule: small RNA, 3412 nt
Filed under: Pan troglodytes (chimpanzee)
Lineage: Eukaryota; Metazoa; Chordata; Mammalia; Primates; Hominidae
Description: sense overlapping
Source: RNAcentral
AGGCGCUUUCUCAGGUUUCUGCUGAUCUUGCAGCGCCCAGAAAUGGACCGAGCGGACCCGCCGCCGCACGCACCCUGCUCCACUCCAAGCUCCUAAGGGCUCCUGGCGCGCCGCGUAGCCUUGGCGAGGUCCGCGCUGGGGUGCGGAGAGCGAAGGGAACUGGAGAGCCAUGUAGAUCCAGGCUCUUGCCCGCCCGCCUCCUUCGGGAUCGAAUCAAGGGCUCCCAUAGUGUUAGGAGGGGGCGAGAGUGCUGUUUAUCGUCAUUUGCCUCGGAGCUUCGAGAAAGGGUGGUAUUUUGCUUUUCCGCCCCGCAUCCUCCGGAACUCCCUGCACCGGAGAGAGGACGGCGUCUCCAGGUUGCUGGCAACCGGUGAGAAUGGGGGUAGGGAAUGAACAUUUUCGCCGUAGCUGCUCGGUAAAGCGAUUGUCCAACUGAGAGGGGCGUCGGACGAGUGGACCAGGGCGGCGAGUUUGCCCGGCGCGUCUCGGAUGCUGCUGCGGCGGCCGCCGCGGCUCCCGCCAGGGCACUGCAAAGGCGACCUGCCGCAUUCCCACUCGGGCUCUCCGCCGACUCAGCACCGCCCCUGCGCCAAGCCAGCCGGCCAGUAGGUGUUCAGUGAGUCCUGAAUGAAGAAAGAAUAUUUUGCUAUGUUGGAUGCUGUGGGGAAGACCCAAGGAAAUUUUUGCAAGCAGGCUGGAGUCCAGUGGCACCGUCUUGGCUCACUGCAGCCUCCGCCUCCUGGGUUUAAGCUAUUCUCCUGCCUCAGCCUCCUGAGUAGCUGGGACUACAGGCGCCUGCUACCACGCCUGGCUAAUUUUUGAAUUUUUUAGUCGAGACGGGGUUUCACCAUGUUGGCCAGGAUGGUCUCGAUCUCCUGAUCUCAGUGGGAAAGAGGGACGGAAGAGUAAGAUUGAAAUCUGAGGCAAGAGGAGUGGCCUAACUUGGUGGAGGCAGGAGAGGCGCGUGUUCUCUACAUGCCCGUCCAAGUCCCUGGGGCUGGGGCUGGGGUCGACAACAGAUCAGAGCACAGGAGUAGAGCGCUUCUGGGAGGGUGGGGUCACCCGUGAGUCACGUCCUGCACCCUGGAGCCCAGAGGACCCUUCGCUCAAACCCACCACCAGCUGGCAACACCGGACCAGCCAGAGCCGCUUUCUUCGCUGCGCAGAGGAGCCUGGGAGAAGCCAGAGGUGUAAGUCAAGCUGUGGAGGGACUGGGUGUGGCUGAGCCCCGUGACAAGUGGGAGGAGCCAGGGAUGCUUGGGAGAGGAGGCACUGUGCGCGAGAGAGGAGGGAAGGGGGAAGCGUUCGUGCCUCUCUGCCCCCUGUCCCCCUCUUGCUGCAUAGUAGCCACAUCCAUGUCUCUUGUACCCUGCAAUCUGGAGGCCCCUGCCAGAAGCGGGAAAUCCCAAGUACAGCAGCAAAAGGUAUGAGGAUUGGCACAAAGUUGUGGCCAAUGGAGGCUCCCCAAAGUGCAUGGAAGGUGGUGGUCCAGUGUCUAAAGGCAGGAGUGCUGGGGCAACCCCAUAGCUGGGGGUCCUAUGGGAGAGACUGAGGAACUUCGGUUUGUGGACUCUCAGUCAACUGUGUUACUGAGGAGGGGAAAGGGAAGUAGAUGAGUUGGUGGUUUGAACAAGACCCAAAUCUUGCUUCUACUUAUAGGUGCUCACAAUGGCCAGUGCCCUGGAAAAGCUCUGGAAUAAAUACACCUGGGCCUUAGAAAGCAGAGGCAGGAGACAAUGCCAUCCAGUGGGAGCUUUCAUUUGUUUCCUCAGCCAGCCUCUGUGUCAGGCUUUUUGGGAACAAGGGCUGGAUGAACAAGACCUUGGGAGUUCUUGUGGGGAGGGACUGGGGGUGAAUGGGCAGUGUGGCUGGCCCGGUGAUCACUUCUCCUCUGCUUGUCUAGGCUUGAGGAUGGAUUCUUGGCUCCUGGUGCAUUGCCACUCCCUGCCACCCUCCUCCUUGUCUUCUGUCUUCUCCUGGUGGCUUCAGGCCUUGCUUCAUGUCCCAAAAGGAGCCUCUGGGGCUGGCACAGCCCUCACUGCCUACAACCUGGGCCUGGUGGUUCUCCUAGGGUGCCUCUGGGAGGUCAUGGCCACCCCGCUGCUGGCUAACUGCAGCUACUUCUGCCAGCCAGUGGACUACAGAUGGAGCAAGCAUGGAAUGAGGGCAUCUUCCUGGAGACAGGAAGGUAGGCAUUGUGGAAUCAGCGGUGCGUAGAACAGUGAGGAUUUGGGGCUGAACCCAGCCCAGGUGGGACAAGCCGUGGCACCAGCCGGACUGCAGUCUGAUGGAACUUCCCCUUCCUGCCCAGCAGAUGGCGAGCGUGUGCUGCUGGUGCCUCUUUCCAAAGGACGUUGAAUUGCUUGACAGGUGUUCCAGGUGUUCUUUACUUUAUGAAUGAAGCCGGAGCAGCCCACCUUCCUGCAUCUCUACCACCAUGGCACCAUGCCCUGUGAUGGGUGGGCUGGAGUCAAAUACGUAGCAGGCAACCAGGGUCAGUUUGUGGCCACUGCUGCCCCCUCUUCCUACAGUCUCCUCACUGAGUGCCCCUUCCCUGUUGGGUUCAACACAUCUGUGCUCCUGUAAGCCCUCAGCCUCCUGGUUCUCUUCCUCAACUUCUACCACCAGACACAUCUGAGAAGCAAGCAAGAGAGGCUGAACUAGGAGCAGGACCCAGGGACUGAAACCAUCACAGCAUCCCCACAGAGAAUUGGGUGGAAGGCAGCGUGGCUUCCAGCUUACUGGUGCUGAGCAGAUUUCUCUGGGUCUCCAUUGUAUCCUCUGAAGGAAGGAGGAGGAUUGCCUUCUGUCCAGAUCUCAGGAUCAAACAAAUAGGUCCAACUUCCUGUGCUCACUUCAGUUAGAGCACUUCUCAUGUGACUUUGUAGCUUUGUGUGCAUCUCCUUCCUCUACUAGACCUAAGCCCCUCACGGGAGGGACUCUCUUAUUCUUGAUGUUCCCCACACCUGGAAUUUCAAUAAACAUCUCAAUAAACGUGUGUGUUUGGAUCCUUGGAUCCCAUGACUGCUGUCAUAACCUUGGUGAAGAAGAGGGCUGGGAGUAGGAAAGAGGUCAAGGUUGGCUUGAUCUCUAACCCUAUAGUGGGAAAUUGUGACGGAGAAUAUUCAAGAGUCGGUGUGGGUCUGUUUGAUUUCAGGUGUAGCUGUGUAAAUAGUUAGCCCUGCAUAUAUUUUUGUCUACUCACAACUGCCUGCAUGUGUAUUCAUACAGUUGUGUGAUUCUGUGUAUGUGCAUGGGGAGUGGGAGAGGGCCAUGUGCACAUGUCUGAAUACUUGUUUUCAAAUAUACAUGCAUGUUUCCAUUUGGAUUUCUCUCCAUUUGUGUUGUUUGCCUGCCUCUUCUGUAAGUCUCUGAAAGUGCCACAUUGGCAAAUAAAAGCCACUGGGAUCAA